CGGCUAGAAUCGAGCUAGCCGUGAAGCAUGUUCAUCUAGUCUGCGUAACUAACAGAUUUACUUUGGUAAUGACGUUAGGAAAGCGAGCGGCGGAUGGGUGAGUAACACGUGGGGAACCUGCCCCAUAGUCUGGGAUACCACUUGGAAACAGGUGCUAAUACCGGAUAAGAAAGCAGAUCGCAUGAUCAGCUUUUAAAAGGCGGCGUACGCUGUCGCUAUGGGAUGGCCGCGCGGUGCAUUAGCUAGUUGGUAAGGUAAAGGCUUACCAAGGCGAUGAUGCAUAGCCGAGUUGAGAGACUGACCGGCCGCGUUGGGACUGAGACACGGCCCAAACUCCUACGGGAGGCAGCAGUAGGGAAUCUUCCACAAUGGACGCAAGUCUGAUGGAGCAACGCCGCGUGAGUGAAGAAGGUUUUCGGAUCGUAAAGCUCUGUUGUUGGUGAAGAAGGAUAGAGGUAGUAACUGGCCUUUAUUUGACGGUAAUCAACCAGAAAGUCACGGCUAACUACGUGCCAGCAGCCGCGGUAAUAAGGUGAGAUGUGCCAAGGAGUUGUCCGGGAUUUAUUUGGGCGGGUAAAGCGAGCGCAGGCGGAAGAAUAUAAAUCUGAUGUGAAAGCCCUCGGCUUAACCGAGGAACUGCAUCGGAAACUGUUUUUCUUGAGUGCAGAAGAGGAGAGUGGAACUCCAUGUGUAGCGGUGGAAUGCGUAGAUAUAUGGAAGAACACCAGUGGCGAAGGCGGCUCUCUGGUCUGCAACUGACGCUGAGGCUCGAAAGCAUGGGUAGCGAACAGGAUUAGAUACCCUGGUAGUCCAUGCCGUAAACGAUGAGUGCUAAGUGUUGGGAGGUUUCCGCCUCUCAGUGCUGCAGCUAACGCAUUAAGCACUCCGCCUGGGGAGUACGACCGCAAGGUUGAAACUCAAAGGAAUUGACGGGGGCCCGCACAAGCGGUGGAGCAUGUGGUUUAAUUCGAAGCAACGCGAAGAACCUUACCAGGUCUUGACAUCUAGUGCCAUUUGUAGAGAUACAAAGUUCCCUUCGGGGACGCUAAGACAGGUGGUGCAUGGCUGUCGUCAGCUCGUGUCGUGAGAUGUUGGGUUAAGUCCCGCAACGAGCGCAACCCUUGUUAUGAGUUGCCAGCAUUAAGUUGGGCACUCUAAUGAGACUGCCGGUGACAAACCGGGAGGAAGGUGGGGAUGACGUCAAGUCAUCAUGCCCCUUAUGACCUGGGCUACACACGUGCUACAAUGGGCAGUACAAACGAGAAGCGAGCCUGCGAAGGCAAAGCGAAUCUCUGAAAAGCUGUUCUCAGUUCGGACUGCAGUCUUGCAAACUCGACUGCACGAAACCUGGAAUCGCUAGUAAUUCCGCGGGAUCAGCACGCCGCGGUGAAUACGUUCCCGGGCCUUGUACACACCGCCCGUCACACCAUGGGAGGCCAAUGCCCAUAGCCGCGGGCCUGACAGAGUUUAUGCAUGAUCCCUAGAGUUAGCGUGCAGUAUCAUC
Molecule: ribosomal RNA, 1504 nt
Filed under: Lactobacillus crispatus
Lineage: Bacteria; Bacillati; Bacillota; Bacilli; Lactobacillales; Lactobacillaceae
Description: bacterial SSU rRNA
Rfam family: Bacterial small subunit ribosomal RNA
Source: RNAcentral